RNAcentral lists this ribosomal RNA (1386 nucleotides) under Triticum aestivum (bread wheat). RNAcentral's name for it is "partial small subunit ribosomal RNA". Lineage: Eukaryota; Viridiplantae; Streptophyta; Magnoliopsida; Poales; Poaceae. The record is from RNAcentral.
AUGAUCCGGAUUGAGGUACUUGUAUCGUUGGUUGCUGGCAUCCUACUCUUCCUCGCGGUCUCUGGGUCCCACUGUCGCCGGUGCAGAAACUGGUUUUUCCAGAAAGGUGUCUUAGGCGCGUACGCCUUGUCCUUCUCACUGGCAAGGUAUACACUCGGUUCCAUGCAAUCUUCUGAGUUGAAGAGCAGCAUAUACCCUAUUUGGAUUAUAUCUCUCUUCAUGCUUCAUGCUUGCACCGACUCUAUCACAGCUUACAGUCUCGAUGACAACAGACAAGUAACAAGACUCGAAUACCAAGCUGUCAUGUACAAUUUAUACGUGGUGUUGCUUUUCGUCACAGUGCAGAAGGACUACAUCCCAUCAGUUGCUUUUAUUUCCUUAAUUGCUUUUAUCAGGUAUUUGCAGAGAGGUACAACAAUUAUGCUAGCAAGCCGCUCAUGGAAAUUGAACAAAAUGGUUGCUGAUUACAUGUAUGAUGAUGAAAAGCAUAAUAAGGAUGUAUUUGACCCAACCACCAUGGAACGUUGCAAUUACCUGGUUGACUGGCCCAUUAGCAAAUCCAAGUUUGUCGAUGCUCAAACAUCAUAUUCAGGAGAAUUAACAGUGGAAGAUCCAGAAGAAGUUGAAAUCAUUGACAUUGGGAAGGUAUGGCGGUGCAAGUCACUAGGCCCAGAGCUAAAGGAUGCAUGCCUUUCCAUCUCUCUUUUCCAUCUGUUGAGAAGGCGCUUCUUUGGAUUUGCCUGUGACGAAUCCAAAGACAGGGCACACAAUUUUUUCUUUGAAUGUCUUCUAUUGGAGAAAAAAUUAGAGGGUUCCACAGACUACAACAGGGUGUUCAAGGUGAUUGAGGUUGAGUUAGCAUUUAUGUAUGACUUCUUCUUCACCAAGUAUGCCACUAUUUAUUAUGGGUCAAUGGCUGCAACAAUUUGGUCAUUGAUUUCAGUCAUUGGCAUAUCUAUCAUGGCAUACUUUACUGCCAGGACUCCGUUGAAGAUUUCUCAGGGUGAUCGGCAGAUCUCGAGUACUGUUACUGAUGAUGUUGUUAUCACCUUAGUGAUACUUGGAUCCACCGCUUUACUUGAAUUCCUACAGAUGUUAUUUUUCUGGAUGGGAAUUUGGGGAAGAGUAUCCUUUGUUUGUAAGUAUAUCAGAGAACAAGCAAGAUUGAAGGGAACAACCUCACAAAGAUUUCUUGCCAAGAUUGGUGUGUGUCUUGCAUCUUCCAUCAUGGUAUUAAAGGCGUUUCUUGCCAAUAUUGGUGUGUCGUAUGCUUCAAACAGACACUAUUGGCAACACAAGAUUGGGCAGUACUCAUUACUUGAUUCAGUCAGCUGCAAUCCUAGUCGAUCAAUCCUUGCAAUCUUACAUUUAAUGUGUAUUUACUGA